CAGUAGCCGCGGGAAUACGUAGGGGGCAAGCGUUAUCCGGAAUUACUGGGUGUAAAGGGAGCGUAGACGGUUAAACAAGUCUGAAGUGAAAUGCCGGGGCUCAACCCCGGAGCUGCUUUGGGAACUGUAGAACUGGAGUGUCGGAGGGGUAAGCGGAAUUCCCAGUGUAGCGGUGAAAUGCGUAGAUAUUGGGAGGAACACCGGCGGCGAAGGCGGCUUACUGGACGACAACUGACGUUGAGGCUCGAAGGCGUGGGUAGCAAACAGGAUUAGAUACCCCUGUAGUCCCUGUCUCUUAUAC
RNAcentral lists this ribosomal RNA (301 nucleotides) under uncultured bacterium. RNAcentral's name for it is "partial 16S ribosomal RNA". It matches the Rfam family "Bacterial small subunit ribosomal RNA", at positions 509 to 807 of the family's 1533-position model. The record is from RNAcentral.